Molecule: ribosomal RNA, 497 nt
Filed under: uncultured bacterium
Lineage: Bacteria
Description: partial 16S ribosomal RNA
Rfam family: Bacterial small subunit ribosomal RNA
Source: RNAcentral
GAUGAACGCUGGCGGCGUGCCUAAUACAUGCAAGUCGAGCGAACAGACGAGGAGCUUGCUCCUUCGACGUUAGCGGCGGACGGGUGAGUAACACGUAGGUAACCUACCUAUAAGACUGGGAUAACUUCGGGAAACCGGAGCUAAUACCGGAUAAUAUUUCGAACCGCAUGGUUCGAUAGUGAAAGAUGGCUUUGCUAUCACUUAUAGAUGGACCUGCGCCGUAUUAGCUAGUUGGUAAGGUAACGGCUUACCAAGGCAACGAUACGUAGACGACCUGAGAGGGUGAUCGGCCACACGGGAACUGAGACACGGUCCAGACUCCUACGGGAGGCAGCAGUAGGGAAUCUUCCGCAAUGGGCGAAAGCCUGACGGGGCAACGCCGCGUGAGUGAUGAAGGUCUUCGGAUCGUAAAACUCUGUUAUUAGGGAAGAACAAACGUGUAAGUAACUGUGCACGUCUUGACGGUACCUAAUCAGAAAGCCACGGCUAACUACGUG